GGAGAGAUGGCCGAGUGGUUGAAGGCGCACGCCUGGAAAGCGUGUAUAGGCAUCCCCUAUCCAGGGUUCGAAUCCCUGUCUCUCCG
Molecule: transfer RNA, 86 nt
Filed under: Candidatus Zixiibacteriota bacterium
Lineage: Bacteria; Pseudomonadati; Candidatus Zixiibacteriota
Description: candidate division Zixibacteria bacterium tRNA-Ser
Rfam family: tRNA
About the family: Transfer RNA (tRNA) molecules are approximately 80 nucleotides in length.
Source: RNAcentral